Molecule: ribosomal RNA, 253 nt
Filed under: uncultured bacterium
Lineage: Bacteria
Description: partial 16S ribosomal RNA
Rfam family: Bacterial small subunit ribosomal RNA
Source: RNAcentral
UACGUAGGGUGCGAGCGUUGUCCGGAAUUAUUGGGCGUAAAGAGCUCGUAGGCGGCCUGUUGCGUCGGUUGUGAAAGCCCGGGGCUUAACCCCGGGUCUGCAGUCGAUACGGGCAGGCUAGAGUUCGGUAGGGGAGAUCGGAAUUCCUGGUGUAGCGGUGAAAUGCGCAGAUAUCAGGAGGAACACCGGUGGCGAAGGCGGAUCUCUGGGCCGAUACUGACGCUGAGGAGCGAAAGCGUGGGGAGCAAACAGG